AGAUUGAACGCUAGCGGGAUGCUUUACACAUGCAAGUCGAACGGCAGCGCGGACUUCGGUCUGGCGGCGAGUGGCGAACGGGUGAGUAAUAUAUCGGAACGUGCCCAGUAGCGGGGGAUAACUACGCGAAAGCGUGGCUAAUACCGCAUACGCCCUACGGGGGAAAGGGGGGGAUCGCAAGACCUCUCACUAUUGGAGCGGCCGAUAUCAGAUUAGCUAGUUGGUGAGGUAAAGGCUCACCAAGGCGACGAUCUGUAGCUGGUUUGAGAGGACGACCAGCCACACUGGGACUGAGACACGGCCCAGACUCCUACGGGAGCAGCAGUGGGGAAUUUGGACAAGUGGGGGAAACCUGACCCAGCCAUCCCGCGUGUGCGAUGAAGGCCUUCGGUUGUAAGC
RNAcentral lists this ribosomal RNA (399 nucleotides) under uncultured soil bacterium. RNAcentral describes it as "bacterial SSU rRNA". It matches the Rfam family "Bacterial small subunit ribosomal RNA", at positions 26 to 431 of the family's 1533-position model. The record is from RNAcentral.